UGGUGCUUUCAGCUUCUUUACAGUGCUGCCUUGUUGCAAUCAUGUCAAGCAGCAUUGUACAGGGCUAUGAAAGAGCCA
RNAcentral lists this microRNA precursor (78 nucleotides) under Podarcis muralis (Common wall lizard). RNAcentral's name for it is "mir-103/107 microRNA precursor family". It matches the Rfam family "mir-103/107 microRNA precursor family". From Rfam's summary of the family: This family consists of the mammalian microRNA (miRNA) precursors mir-103 and mir107. Animal miRNAs are transcribed as ~70nt precursors and subsequently processed by the Dicer enzyme to give a ~22nt product. RNAcentral also lists the same sequence under 1 other name. The record is from Rfam by way of RNAcentral. Lineage: Eukaryota; Metazoa; Chordata; Lepidosauria; Squamata; Lacertidae.